Small nucleolar RNA from Ictidomys tridecemlineatus (thirteen-lined ground squirrel), 109 nucleotides. Ensembl annotates it as small nucleolar RNA, C/D box 67. Its record names the gene SNORD67. The record is from Ensembl. NCBI's taxonomy places the organism in Eukaryota, Metazoa, Chordata, Mammalia, Rodentia, Sciuridae.
UGUGAGAGUGAUGAGUUGCACACUGAUGGAGUCGGUAUCAGAUGAUAAAGACACCAUUCAGUACUACCCUGGUGACAAAAUCAGGUGCACAGGGGCCAUCUGACUCACA